CAGCCGCCACGGUAAAACGGAGGGGGCUAGCGUUGUUCGGAAUUACUGGGCGUAAAGCGCACGUAGGCGGCUUGGUAAGUUAGAGGUGAAAGCCUGGAGCUCAACUCCAGAAUUGCCUUUAAGACUGCCGAGCUAGCAGGUGAGAGAGGUAAGUGGAAUUCCGAGUGUAGAGGUGAAAUUCGUAGAUAUUCGGAAGAACACCAGUGGCGAAGGCGGCUUACUGGCUCAUACUGGACGCUGAGGUGCGAAAGCGUGGGGAGCAAACAGGAUUAGAUACCCCGGUAGUCCCUGUCUCUUAUAA
This 301-nucleotide ribosomal RNA is filed under the name uncultured bacterium. RNAcentral's name for it is "partial 16S ribosomal RNA". It matches the Rfam family "Bacterial small subunit ribosomal RNA", at positions 509 to 809 of the family's 1533-position model. The record is from RNAcentral.